UACGUAGGGUCCGAGCGUUGUCCGGAAUUAUUGGGCGUAAAGAGCUCGUAGGUGGUUUGUCGCGUUGUUCGUGAAAACUCACAGCUCAACUGUGGGCGUGCGGGCGAUACGGGCAGACUAGAGUACUGCAGGGGAGACUGGAAUUCCUGGUGUAGCGGUGGAAUGCGCAGAUAUCAGGAGGAACACCGGUGGCGAAGGCGGGUCUCUGGGCAGUAACUGACGCUGAGGAGCGAAAGCGUGGGGAGCGAACAGG
RNAcentral lists this ribosomal RNA (253 nucleotides) under uncultured bacterium. Its description in RNAcentral is "partial 16S ribosomal RNA". It matches the Rfam family "Bacterial small subunit ribosomal RNA", at positions 524 to 776 of the family's 1533-position model. The record is from RNAcentral.